GGACGAACGCUGGCGGCGUGCCUAAUACAUGCAAGUCGAACGGUCUUUCUAUGGAAGCUUGCUUCCACUGAGAAGAUAGUGGCGAACGGGUGAGUAACACGUGGGUAACCUGCCCAUAAGAGGGGGGAUAACAUCCGGAAACGGGUGCUAAUACCGCAUAGUUUUCUUGAUCGCAUGAUCGGGAAAGGAAAGACGGCCUUUGUGCUGUCGCUUAUGGAUGGACCCGCGGCGUAUUAGUUAGUUGGUGAGGUAACGGCUCACCAAGACGAUGAUACGUAGCCGACCUGAGAGGGUGAUCGGCCACAUUGGGACUGAGACACGGCCCAAACUCCUACGGGAGGCAGCAGUAGGGAAUCUUCCGCAAUGGACGAAAGUCUGACGGAGCAACGCCGCGUGAGUGAAGAAAGGUUUUCGGAUCGUAAAACUCUGUUGUCAGAGAAGAACAAGUUGGAGAGUAACUGCUCCAGCCUUGACGGUAUCUGACCAGAAAGCCACGGCUAACUACGUGCCAGCCGCCGC
Molecule: ribosomal RNA, 519 nt
Filed under: uncultured bacterium
Lineage: Bacteria
Description: bacterial SSU rRNA
Rfam family: Bacterial small subunit ribosomal RNA
Source: RNAcentral